AGAGCGAACGCUGGCGGCAGGCCUAAUACAUGCAAGUCGAACGCACCUUCGGGUGAGUGGCGGACGGGUGAGUAACACGUGGGAACGUGCCCUUUGGUUCGGAAUAAUCCGGGGAAACCUGGCCUAAUACCGGAUGUGCCCUUCGGGGGAAAGAUUUAUCGCCAUUGGAGCGGCCCGCGUCUGAUUAGCUAGUUGGUGGGUAAAGGCCCACCAAGGCGACGAUCAGUAGCUGGUCUGAGAGGAUGAUCAGCCACACUGGGACUGAGACACGGCCCAGACUCCUACGGGAGGCAGCAGUAGGGAAUCUUGCGCAAUGGGCGAAAGCCUGACGCAGCCAUGCCGCGUGAAUGAUGAAGGUCUUAGGAUUGUAAAAUUCUUUCAGCGGGGAAGAUAAUGACUGUACCCGCAGAAGAAGCUCCGGCUAACUUCGUGCCAGCAGCCGC
Molecule: ribosomal RNA, 443 nt
Filed under: uncultured bacterium
Lineage: Bacteria
Description: SSU rRNA
Rfam family: Bacterial small subunit ribosomal RNA
Source: RNAcentral